CCUACGGGAGGCAACAGUGAGGAAUAUUGGUCAAUGGACGAGAGUCUGAACCAGCCAAGUAGCGUGAAGGAUGACUGCCCUAUGGGUUGUAAACUUCUUUUAUAUGGGAAUAAAAUGUUCCACGUGUGGGAUUUUGUAUGUACCAUAUGAAUAAGGAUCGGCUAACUCCGUGCCAGCAGCCGCGGUAAUACGGAGGAUGCGAGCGUUAUCCGGAUUUAUUGGGUUUAAAGGGUGCGUAGGCGGGUUAUCAAGUCAGCGGUAAAAUCGUGGAGCUCAACUCCAUCCAGCCGUUGAAACUGAUGAUCUUGAGUGGGCGAGAAGUAUGCGGAAUGCGUGGUGUAGCGGUGAAAUGCAUAGAUAUCACGCAGAACUCCGAUUGCGAAGGCAGCAUACCGGCGCCCGACUGACGCUGAAGCACGAAAGCGUGGGUAUCGAACAGGAUUAGAUACCCUUGUAGUC
This 459-nucleotide ribosomal RNA is filed under the name uncultured bacterium. Its description in RNAcentral is "partial 16S ribosomal RNA". It matches the Rfam family "Bacterial small subunit ribosomal RNA", at positions 338 to 795 of the family's 1533-position model. The record is from RNAcentral.